Daucus carota subsp. sativus is the source of this 2595-nucleotide RNA transcript. RefSeq lists it as uncharacterized. The transcript has 7 exons. Lineage: Eukaryota; Viridiplantae; Streptophyta; Magnoliopsida; Apiales; Apiaceae. The record is from RefSeq and is a predicted model, not a curated record.
UAAAUAAUCACUCAUGUUUGCCCCACACUUGUGAAUGAAAUAAUAUUUUAAUAAUUAAUUAUAUUAUUAAUUAUUUAUUUAUUUAACAGAGUGGGUCCCACAUUGGGGCCCACUGCUGACGUGGCAGUGUGGGUCCCCCAUGUGGGCCCCAUUCUGGCUGUCUGCUGAGAUGUGGUUGAAUAAAAUGUUUAGAAAAUUUUGUAAGGUGGGGGAAUUGAACCCCCAACCUCCCACUUGAGAGUACAUGGUGCAAACCACUACACCAAGCUUUGCACUUGGUUAAACUUUUCAUUACUUUAAUAUAACCUUAUCUUGUUUACAAAAUCUUGAUUAAAUUAAGAGAAGGUUUUACAUUUUAAUUUUUUUAUAAUUUCUUUUCAACAAUCCUACUGAACUCUAUUUAUUUUAUCGGCGUGAAUCUUUUUGAAAAAAAUUAUAAAUUCGUUUUGUGGAAUUUUAUUGUAGUUUUAUAGACUAGUGCAGAAUGAAGAUUGUAUUUUUUUAAAAUUCGUUUUCAACGAUCCAUCCGUACGGAUGUUAAAUUCUCGUGACUCUGGUGAUGCGGGAAUUUUUUCGAAAAAAUCUGGAUUUAUUUGAUGUCGUCUUUUAUCAUUCAAUUCGGUCAAGGCUCCCAACUCGUGUCAAUAGACUAGUGCAGAAUGAAGAUUGUAUUUUUUUAAAAUCCGUUUUCAAAGAUCCAUCCGUACGGAUGUUAAAUUCGCGUGACUCUAGUGAUGCGAGAAUUUUUUCAAAAAAAUUUGGAUUUAUUUGAUGCCGUUUUUUAACAGUCAAUUCGAUCAAGGCUCCCAACUCGUGUCAAUAGAUUAGUGCAGAAUGAAGAUUGUAUUUUUUUAAAAUCCGUUUUCAACGAUCCGUCUGUACGGAUGUUAAAUUCUCGCGGUUAGAGUGUUGUGUGAAUUUUUAGGAAAAAUUUCAAAUUUAUCUGCUCGUGUUUUAUAAUAGUCAAAUUGGUCAAACUCCCAACUUAGUUAGCUACACUUGUACCGAUUGAAUGUUAUAUUCUUUAGAAAUCCAUUUUCAACGAUUUGUUCGUACGAAUGUUAAGUUCUCGCGGUUAGAGUGUUGUGUGAAUUUUUUGAAAAAAUUUCAGAUUUAUCUGCUCGCGUUUUAUAAUAGUCAAAUUGGUCAAACUCCCAACUUAGUUAGCUACACUUGUAUCGAUUUUCUCGACGAUAAAACCGUACGGAUGUUAAUAAAUGACCUUUUUAAUGUCGGAAAAAAAUAAUCAAAAAAUAUAAUGCUCGGAUUGUGUCGUAUUUUAACGUUAUUAUAAAUAUAUUAAAAAUAAAUAAACAAAUUAUAUCUAAAAAUUUUAGGCGGGAUAUUUCCCCCCAAAAAUUAGCAAGCCCUCUUCUCUAUCUGUUCUAUCUCUCUCAUUUCUCAAUCACUUCUAUCUCACUGAUUUCUCCUCUCUCUCUCUCUUUCUCUCUCUGAAAAUAGAUACGGUACUCACUUUCGGCGACACCUCUCCUCACCUCGCUCUGACCUCCCCUCGCCUCACUCUCACCUCAACUGUACGGGUUUCAAAAUUUGGGUUUCAAAACUAGGGUUUCAGAAUUUGGGGGUUCGACCAAUGCUCGAUCUCUUCCUUUUCGCUAAGAGCGAUUAAUGAUGCUGGGUAUGAGAAGAUGACUAUUGUGCAGGAGGCGACACUACCUCUUAUCCUUUUGCACUUAUUCAACUGAUUGAUUAUUAUUUCUGUGAAUUUUAUUUGAAUUUCUGAGUUUCCAUUAAUGGGCACCACGUGUUUGAUAAAAUGUCUGUUUGAGUUUUGUUUUGUACGUGUUAAAUGAAAGUUUGUGAUUUGGUUAUUGAAUUAAGGCUUGAGAAGCUAUAUGGGGGGAAGGCUUAUGUUGUCCUUAGAAUUCCUAAUGCUGAUUCGGGUACUCAGAAAAAUGUGGAUACAGUUCUUGUUACUAAGAGGGAGGCUGUUGUGGUUUCGGUCAAGAGAUUUGGAGGGUUUGUUUCUAUUAAUGCGGAUGGGAGUUGGGUUUGUGUUGGUGGGAGUAAGCCCAAAGAGGAACGUCAUCCUGACCCUAGACAAAACAACAGAUUACAGUUCUUGAUUAACAAUGGGGAGUUUCUGUCCCAGAAGGUUACUUCUCUUGCAGGGUUUUGUGUCCCAACCCAAAAUUCAGGUCAUGCAAACCCAUCUAGUUGCUCCACUGGAAAAGCACUUUCCACUUAUGUAUGUUUUACUGAAAGAGCACAUUGCAGAUGACGCUGACUAUAAGGAAGGGCAGAGCAAGUACCUAGGAGCUCAUUUUUAAAGUGGUGGGAAGCAUAUUCGUCAUUUGGUUGUAUCACUACCAAGCAGCUUGGAACAGUGAUGAGGUCUUUGGGACAUAAUCCAACAGAGGCUGAGCUUCAAGAUAUGAUCAAUGAGGUUGAUGCUGAUGGGAAUGGGACAAUAGAUUUUCCAGAGUGUAUAGAUACAUAUAUUAAGUUAUAUUUGGCGAAGUGGGUGUAUUGAAUUGUUUGAAAUGAUGUAUAGACUAGUUAAUAUUGUAUUUUGGCAUUUUUGUUGUAUUGAAUGUUGGUUUGAUAAUGGAAUUAAUGUAUUUACAAACAAUA